This 108-nucleotide Y RNA is filed under the name Suricata suricatta (meerkat). RNAcentral describes it as "Y RNA (ENSSSUG00005020066.1)". It matches the Rfam family "Y RNA". From Rfam's summary of the family: Y RNAs are components of the Ro ribonucleoprotein particle (Ro RNP), in association with Ro60 and La proteins. Lineage: Eukaryota; Metazoa; Chordata; Mammalia; Carnivora; Herpestidae. The record is from Rfam by way of RNAcentral.
GACUGGUCCAAAGGUAGUGAGUUAUCUCAAUUGAUUGUUCACAGUUAUAGAUCAAACUCCUUGUUCUGCUCUUUCCCCCUUCUCACUACUGGACUUGACCAGUCUUAA